Molecule: ribosomal RNA, 118 nt
Filed under: uncultured Planctomycetota bacterium
Lineage: Bacteria; Pseudomonadati; Planctomycetota
Description: uncultured planctomycete partial 16S ribosomal RNA
Rfam family: Bacterial small subunit ribosomal RNA
Source: RNAcentral
UCGAGAAUCUUUCGCAAUGCCCGAAAGGGUGACGAAGCGACGCCGCGUGUGGGAAGAAGGCCUUCGGGUUGUAAACCACUGUCGGGAGUUAAGAAAUGCAAGGGUGUUAAUAGCAUCC